This 39-nucleotide non-coding RNA is filed under the name Lotharella globosa. Lineage: Eukaryota; Cercozoa; Chlorarachniophyceae. The record is from RNAcentral.
UCUUUUUCCCUUUUUUUUUUUUUCUUUCUCUUCCGUUUU